Drosophila melanogaster (fruit fly) is the source of this 141-nucleotide small nucleolar RNA. The record is from Ensembl. Lineage: Eukaryota; Metazoa; Arthropoda; Insecta; Diptera; Drosophilidae.
AAAAAAGUAUGAAGAUUUUUGCAGUCAGCACGAUUGUGUUUAUUUCAUUUCAUUUUGAAGCCAUCUUUAUGUUUAAACUUACCAACCUUGAGAUACGAAAUGAGUAAAUUACCUUUAUUACUGAUAAAAAGCAACAGUCGU